Brassica oleracea var. oleracea is the source of this 379-nucleotide long non-coding RNA. RefSeq lists it as uncharacterized. The transcript is spliced from 2 exons. NCBI's taxonomy places the organism in Eukaryota, Viridiplantae, Streptophyta, Magnoliopsida, Brassicales, Brassicaceae. The record is from RefSeq and is a predicted model, not a curated record.
AGAUUGCAGCAGAGUACUCGGAGUGCCCAUCAGGGAAAAAAGGAGGAGAUCUUGGAUGGUUCCCUAGAGGAAAGAUGGCAGGUCCAUUCCAAGAUGUCGCCUUCAACACACCUGUUGGUGUCACUAGUGCACCUUUCAAAUCUACGCAUGGAUACCACAUCAUCUUGUCGGAAGGAAGGAAAUACUGACAGAUUACAUCUCUGUUCUCCUCUGCUCUAGUCUUGUGGAAGUCACUUGCUAGUUGUUACUGUAACCUAUAUAUAAAACACACAGCCUUUGUUGUUCUGGCCAAAAUGUUUGCUACAAGUUGUUAACAAAUCUUCUCUGUUGUUUUGAAUAAUGAAUUUCUGAAGGCUAUGUGAUUCAUUUCGGUGUUUGA